RNAcentral lists this unclassified non-coding RNA (514 nucleotides) under uncultured Glomus. RNAcentral's name for it is "SSU rRNA". It matches the Rfam family "Eukaryotic small subunit ribosomal RNA", at positions 569 to 1088 of the family's 1831-position model. Lineage: Eukaryota; Fungi; Glomeromycota; Glomeromycetes; Glomerales; Glomeraceae. The record is from RNAcentral.
AGCAGCCGCGGUAAUUCCAGCUCCAAUAGCGUAUAUUAAAGUUGUUGCAGUUAAAAGCUCGUAGUUGAAUUUCGGGAUCAAUGCGUCGGUCGUGCCUUCGGUACGUACUAGCGUCAUUGAUUCCUCCCUUCUGAAGAACCGUGAUGUCAUUAAUUUGGUGUUACGGGGAAUCAGGACUGUUACCUUGAAAAAUUAGAGUGUUUAAAGCAGGCUAACGCUUGAAUACAUUAGCAUGGAAUAAUGAAAUAGGACGUUCGAACCUAUUUUGUUGGUUUCUAGGAUCGACGUAAUGAUUAAUAGGGAUAGUUGGGGGCAUUAGUAUUCAAUUGUCAGAGGUGAAAUUCUUGGAUUUAUUGAAGACUGACUACUGCGAAAGCAUUUGCCAAGGAUGUUUUCAUUAAUCAAGAACGAAAGUUAGGGAUCGAAGACGAUCAGAUACCGUCGUAGUCUUGACCAUAAACUAUGCCACUAGGGAUCGGAUGAUGUUAAUUUUAUAAUGUACUCAUUCGGUCCG